GGAGUUGUGGCUCAGAGGUAGAGCGCUCACUUACUAUGUGUGAAGCCCUGGGUUCGAUCCUCAACACUA
RNAcentral lists this transfer RNA (69 nucleotides) under Urocitellus parryii (Arctic ground squirrel). RNAcentral's name for it is "Spermophilus parryii (Arctic ground squirrel) tRNA". It matches the Rfam family "tRNA". From Rfam's summary of the family: Transfer RNA (tRNA) molecules are approximately 80 nucleotides in length. Their secondary structure includes four short double-helical elements and three loops (D, anti-codon, and T loops). The record is from Rfam by way of RNAcentral. Lineage: Eukaryota; Metazoa; Chordata; Mammalia; Rodentia; Sciuridae. RNAcentral also lists the same sequence under 2 other names.